This 494-nucleotide ribosomal RNA is filed under the name uncultured bacterium. RNAcentral describes it as "partial 16S ribosomal RNA". It matches the Rfam family "Bacterial small subunit ribosomal RNA", at positions 28 to 507 of the family's 1533-position model. The record is from RNAcentral.
GACGAACGCUGGCGGCGUGCUUAACACAUGCAAGUCGAACGGUGAAGCGCGUUCCUUUUUGGUGGGUGUGGAGGAGUGGCGAAGGGGGGAGUAACACGAGAGUAACCUGCCCCCAUCGUCUGGAUAACCGCAUGAAAGUGUGGCUAAUACGGGAUAUUCUGGAUCGGUCGCUUGAUGGGUCUGAGACAGAUAUUGUGUCGGUGGUGGAUGGGCUCGCGGUCUAUCAGCUUGUUGGUGGGGUGAUGGCCUACCAAGGCGGUGAUGGGUAGCCGGCCUGAGAGGGUGGACGGCCACACAGGGAGUGCGGGACGCAAGAGACUCCGGCGGGCGGCAGCAGGGGGUAAUACUGAACGAUGGGCAGAAGGAUGAUGCAGCGACGCCGCGUGAGUGAUGGAGGCCUGCGGGUUGUGCACCUCUUUUGGGAGUGAAGCAGUGCUGCCUCGUUUGUGGGUGGGUUGACGGUAGCUGGACAAGAAGCGCCGGCUAACUACGUG